AGCGAACGCUGGCGGCAGGCCUAACACAUGCAAGUCGAACGAACCUUUCGGGGUUAGUGGCGGACGGGUGAGUAACACGUGGGAACGUGCCUUUAGGUUCGGAAUAACUCAGGGAAACUUGUGCUAAUACCGAAUGUGCCCUUCGGGGGAAAGAUUUAUCGCCUUUAGAGCGGCCCGCGUCUGAUUAGCUAGUUGGUUGAGGUAAUGGCUCACCAAGGCGACGAUCAGUAGCUGGUCUGAGAGGAUGAUCAGCCACAUUGGGACUGAGACACGGCCCAAACUCCUACGGGAGGCAGCAGUGGGGAAUCUUGCGCAAUGGGCGAAAGCCUGACGCAGCCAUGCCGCGUGAAUGAUGAAGGUCUUAGGAUUGUAAAAUUCUUUCACCGGGGACGAUAAUGACGGUACCCGGAGAAUAAGCCCCGGCUAACUUCGUG
This 434-nucleotide ribosomal RNA is filed under the name uncultured bacterium. Its description in RNAcentral is "partial 16S ribosomal RNA". It matches the Rfam family "Bacterial small subunit ribosomal RNA", at positions 29 to 507 of the family's 1533-position model. The record is from RNAcentral.